CUGGUGUCGGUUCUUCUACCUGUCAAACUUCAUUAAACUCGACUUUAUAGGCACUUAUUCCUUCAUUAAGGAACUUAUUUUUCGAAAAAUAUGUCUUACUGCUGACAAAUAUCUUUUGUUCAGUAGGGAGGUAAAAGUAAUAUCUUCUCAUUUUUUUGAGGUACCCCACAAACCUAGGUCCGAGCUUGUUGGUUUGUAAUUAUUUGACAUAAGUCGGACACCCCC
Molecule: long non-coding RNA, 225 nt
Filed under: Elaeis guineensis (African oil palm)
Lineage: Eukaryota; Viridiplantae; Streptophyta; Magnoliopsida; Arecales; Arecaceae
Description: long non-coding RNA (EGUI_LNC074490)
Source: RNAcentral